Molecule: ribosomal RNA, 529 nt
Filed under: Epitrimerus insons
Lineage: Eukaryota; Metazoa; Arthropoda; Arachnida; Trombidiformes; Eriophyidae
Description: partial large subunit ribosomal RNA
Source: RNAcentral
AAAUAGAACUUUGCAGAGAGAGUUAAGAGGGCGUGAAACCGUUAAUUGGCAAACGAAUCGGAGCCACGAAGUCGUUUCGUUAUUGAGUCUUGGGUCGAGUUCAGCUCAAGUUGCUUCAUUGCAGUUUGGGUGUAUUCUCGUACCUGGCCAAAAUUGUAAGCGUACACUGCAACCAGUUAGACGAUUGGUGAUGGGCACAGUUGUUCAGUGUCCGGGUUAGUAGUAGCGCCGUUGGCUUUCGGGCCUCCUGGUGUUGCUGGACUCGCUGGCAAGUGAACUAUGAACCAAAUACUGACUGGCAAAAUGAAAAUCGCCCCUCAGCGGGCGUUGCAUAGAAGGCAACCUGUUGCAUUUGGGUCUACACUCAGCGACCGUUUGGUCUUUAAGCUUGGCAUUUUUGAAUUUAGACUUGCUUGCUACCAUUGGGGCAACUCGUGGUGCUUGUAUAGCUCUAUCUAAUCGGGUGCCGACUUGGCCAGGCGUUGUUUGUUGGUGCUACGAUUGGGCCUNAAUGCGAGCGGCUCGCAAU